GUACAACAGAGGGUUUGUAAGGGCGGUCGGCUAGUCUCCCGGAGGGGAGGUGAUGCCUAUGGAUAUGUAUCAGACAUUAUCUUAAAUGAUGAUGUUUGGCACGUUCAUCGUGUUAAUCAUGUCGCAAAAGAAAUAGACCGCCCUCUGUAAAGGUGUGCGGUCUAUUUCUAAAUGGACGUACCCAAAGCCCUCCGCUCUUAAAGCGGCUGUUGUACAAGGCCGCAGGUGUACCAGCACCUGCG
This 242-nucleotide small RNA is filed under the name Salibacterium qingdaonense. RNAcentral's name for it is "Bacillus qingdaonensis BsrG". It matches the Rfam family "BsrG". From Rfam's summary of the family: bsrE, bsrG and bsrH pair through intermolecular interactions with antisense sRNAs. SR4 interaction with the 3'UTR of bsrG RNA promotes bsrG degradation and inhibits its translation. SR5 also overlaps bsrG from nucleotide 163 to 52 (Rfam overlap check). Lineage: Bacteria; Bacillati; Bacillota; Bacilli; Caryophanales; Bacillaceae. The record is from Rfam by way of RNAcentral.